Molecule: long non-coding RNA, 2014 nt
Organism: Equus caballus (horse)
Lineage: Eukaryota; Metazoa; Chordata; Mammalia; Perissodactyla; Equidae
Source: RefSeq, a predicted model, not a curated record
AAGGAAGAGAAAGAUGAGCGAGGCCCACAUCUGACCCCUUCUUCUGAGUGCCUCCAGGGCAUGUCUGUGGGUUCUGCUUUGUCCAGAUGUUGACAUUUACAGGUACCCUUGGGGUCUGCAGGCUCCGAGCAGAUUUGGAUUCAGAUCAGAAAACAUUUCUUCUUUUUUCAGAGUAUUGUGGGUGGGGGCCUGGUGCUACUGAUGGUUCCAGACUUUCUUUCAGGCAUGUCUUUGCUUCCCAUCAGGAUUCAGAUAUGGUUUUUAGAAAUUCAUCUACAAGCUCAUAGGCUCUCCAGUCAACUGCUAUACAAAUGGGGUUGGACCUAGCUUCCCCUGCUCCACCUGCUGGGAGAGGCACCAUAAUAGACACUUGAAACCCAGCUCAUGGAGAGUGGGGCUUCCAUAUGGGUCUUACAGAUGGGCCAGAUGGAGAGACUCUUCCAUAGGAAGGGUUUGGAAAUUAAGUAUUUCUCUUUCUAUGUAACUAAGCUGCUUAAACAAGACAGGUCCCUGCCUUCAAGGAGCUUUCUUUAAACCCACGUUUUUAACAAAGACCCUGAAAGAAAACUAUCUUCCAUAGCCAUCAGUGCAUAUGUCUGCAUAACCAGCUUUCAUAAGCAAACAGAUGGAGACCACGUGUUCCAUCUUUGGGCUCAGAAAAAGCCCCCAGGGCCAACCGUAGGCCAUGCCACUUGGCUGAUUUAUUCCAUUUUUUCCCUCCUUUCCUGGUAUAUAUGAACAUCACAGGCAUAGGCAUGAAGGUACUUUAGAAAACACUUAUUUUACUAUUUUUUUAAUUAACAGCAGGAGACCUUCAAAGUAAGGAAAAUAUUUCCUGUCCUGUUUGUUUCACAAGGGACACAAAGAUUGAGAGGCUUUCACAGCUUUUCCUACGGUCCCAAAACUAUGAGUGGUAGAUGAAAUAUUCUGGUUCCCACUUUCAGAUUUUAACUUUGGCCUCAGUUUUCUCACCUGUGAAAUAAUAGCUGGACUACAAAAGUUCAAUGAGACAAUCUAAGAAAACUCCUUAGGUCAGAGCCUUGUACGCAGAAGGGACGUCAUUAUUUCUACUGAAUCGUGACCUCUGACUUUCCAGGUGGUGUCUUUCCUUCUAGCUGACCCUGACCCCUGGACCCCCGUGCAGGGUAGGCUUGUGCGCUAAUCAGCUCAUUGGUGUCAAGGUGACACAUCAGAACAUGUAUUAAAGAAGGGAUUUCUUUCUGGAAGUCUCUAAUGAAAGGAGCCAGUCAAAAUGUGAUUUAUCUCAGAGAAUGAAAGUGAUAACGCACAGAACUUGAUUGCACCCCUGGAGUUCUGAUUUUCCUUUUAUUUAGGGUACCCAUGUCUUUCCCUCAUUCUGACUCCAGCAUCUUUCAACUCUAGACCUUCCUCUCUUCUGAUCGCCUCCCAAUUCCUCUGCCACAGACACAUUCAAACCACUUUUCCAAACCAACCAGGAAGGUUUUCUGCUGGUUUGUUAAAACAGCUUAAAGAAAACAAAAUAUUCACAAGAACUCUCUUAAAUCUCAAAGCUAGGUUUGCGAUGAUUCACUAAAAGGAAGAUGCUUUUUCCUGGAACAGGGUGGAGAGGCAGCGAGUCAUGAGGCAAACAAGCCUACACUCGUGCUCCUCAGAUGCUCAAGCACAGCACAGUUUCGGCUCAUAACGCCUCUGGCCCGGUAGUGCCUUUCCUCUGAGAAACUGCAAGCGACUUGAGAGAAGAACUCAUUCCUCCUAUCGCUCAGGGGAAACUUGCAUCAAAUGACUCGGAAGGAGGACACGACAUUCCCAUCAGCAGUCAGACAGCACUGCAUGUUCCUGACCCUCACAGGCCCAUGCCCAGGCCUGGACCUGGGGUUCAUGGGUCAGCUCUUCCCAGCACUUCCAAAAACAUAAUGAGGUCGCCUACUCUAGACCCUGAGGCCCCAGGGCUGGCCCGGCAGCUGGGUUGGCUCACCGGUUUUGGAUGCCGCCUCUGCAGCAAAAUCAGCGGCAAACUUCUUGAGGACCUCUG